Molecule: ribosomal RNA, 495 nt
Filed under: uncultured bacterium
Lineage: Bacteria
Description: partial 16S ribosomal RNA
Rfam family: Bacterial small subunit ribosomal RNA
Source: RNAcentral
UGAACGCUGGCGGCGUGCCUAAUACAUGCAAGUAGAGCGAACAGACGAGGAGCUUGCUCCUCUGACGUUAGCGGCGGACGGGUGAGUAACACGUGGAUAACCUACCUAUAAGACUGGGAUAACUUCGGGAAACCGGAGCUAAUACCGGAUAAUAUAUUGAACCGCAUGGUUCAAUAGUGAAAGACGGUUUUGCUGUCACUUAUAGAUGGAUCCGCGCCGCAUUAGCUAGUUGGUAAGGUAACGGCUUACCAAGGCAACGAUGCGUAGCCGACCUGAGAGGGUGAUCGGCCACACUGGAACUGAGACACGGUCCAGACUCCUACGGGAGGCAGCAGUAGGGAAUCUUCCGCAAUGGGCGAAAGCUUGACGGAGCAACGCCGCGUGAGUGAUGAAGGUCUUCGGAUCGUAAAACUCUGUUAUUAGGGAAGAACAAAUGUGUAAGUAACUAUGCACGUCUUGACGGUACCUAAUCAGAAAGCCACGGCUAACUACGUG